GGUCUAUUGCAAUGACUAGUUUUCCUUGUUCUUUGGUUCCUAAAGCCAAUUAUUCUCUUUAACACCUUUGGAGAUGCUAAGUGAGGCUAAUGAGAGCGGAUUUCUUGUGUGUUUAUUAGUCAUCACCAUCACCUCACAUAUGUAGAUAUAUUUUUAAUACUUUCAGAGUGUCAAUAAAUUAUGUUUGAGCCUCAAAAGAAUAUCAUAAAGCAGCUAUCACCUCCUAGGAAAUACAAGCUUCACUGGCAGAAGAGUGGUGAAAGAUGUGGUUUCAGACCAUUAGAGUUUCAAAUCCUUCUCCUGUCACCAGCUGUGUGGCCCUGAGUAAGUUACUUCACCCCUGAGUGCUUCAGUGCCUCAUCCGUAAUAUGAAGCAAUAAAAGAAGCUGUCUUGUGUACUUGUUUUUAGAAUGAAGAUAAUCCAUGCAAAAUGUUUAUCAAGUCAUGUGGCAUAGUCUCUCCAAUACUAUUAGCUAGACUAUUUAUAAAUUAGGUAUUGAUAGCCCCCAAUAACUAACACUUAAUGAAUGCCUACUAUGUACCAAGUACUAUAUUCUAAGAACCUCACAAGCAGUAACUCAGUUUUCACAGUGACUGUUGGAGGUGAGAACGACGAUUACUAUGUCUGUUUUGCAAAUGAGGAAAUUGAGACACGCAGACAAAGUCACUUGCCCCAAGUCUCGCAGGUGGGAGAUUGUAGAGCCAGGGCUGGAACUCAGAAGGUCGGGUCCUUGGCUCGCUCUGUUUCCCAGAACAGGCUGUGUGCUAGGCCUGCGGGGGCGACAGCAGUGAGAACCCCAUGGUUCCUGCCUUCCUGAAAGCCAAUGCAAUCUCCCUAAAGGAGAGAGGAGCUCUCUGCAAAAUGGUGGGACGAAAGAGAGAGCUCUGAACUCUUCCUAGGAGCUUUGGAAAGGGUCGGUUAUCCUAAUCCUCCUGUUGUUUAGAUCUGCUUGCUCCCUUCUCUGCGGGCCACACACAUCCCUAAGCUGAGAAUCACCGGUUACCUAACCUCUGGUCCCUCCCACAGCACUUGCUACCCUAUCUCAAAAAGCCACCCGACUCAGAUUCCAGGUCCCUGACCACCUCUAUCACGCGUCCUGUCACCUUCAUGAUACUCUUUCCAACAUUCUACAUUUCCUUUCCGUGGGUUGUUAGGUGAAUACACGCUUGGCCCUCAGUGAGGACUCCUUGUUCGACAUGGCACACACUACAAAGAUGAUGAUUCAACACACAUUUCUGAGCGUAUCCAGUCUAUACGCUGCAGGGCUAGAAAUGAAUUCAUGCUUCUUUGAUGCCACAGUGCCAUCUCUCCUGAGGGUGGGGCCUGUAUUUCUUCGGCAUCCAAUUUCUCACAAGUAUAUGAUUUCUACUUUUGCAAAACAGGACGUUGUUUAACCAAGUUCUUAUGGGAGGAAGCACAGCCCAGUGAGCAGAACAAUGAUUUGAAAGUCCUGGGUUCUAUUUUCAGCUCCACUGUUGACUAGCUGUGCAUUCAGCCCUUGGAAGGUCAAAGCAGAAGGGCCUUGCACCGCUGACUUUCUCUGCAUGUACAGCUCUAGAUGGAAAACAAAACAGGCAUCUGGCUCUCAGCCUUGAGAAGCUGUGGUCUUUGGAGAAUAGAUGUGUAGUCACACUUUGUUUUCUUUUUAAAGCAAAAGAACAGAACAAACUCUCUUGGGGUGGGGGAGAGAGAGGGCGGCUGCAAAACGAGCUGGCAGAGAACCUAAGAGAGAAACCCAAUCACCUUUUAAACAAUCCAGGGGUUAAGGGACUGUUCGAACCAUUUCGAUCAAAGAAGCCUCUCCGGAGUAAGUUGGAGUUGCCUGCGUUCUAACAUGGAAGAGGCUAAGGUUUGAAAGACUUCUCCAAAUUUGAACAAUGCCAGGUGUCCAGAACUCUUCCUAUAGGGCAGACAGGAGAUGCUAGUGAGUGAGGCUUGUGGGCAAAGGUGGAAGCACCGGUCCCCUCUAAAGCCAUCUGCUGCUACCCAGCACCAGCUGCUUGUCAUGGGGAGAAGCCACUGUUGCCUACACAGCUGAGCUUUCAAGAAAAACUAAACAAUUAAAAUUUUGUUCUUAGAACUUCACUUUAAAUGACGGAGCCUAAUCAACAUUUAGAGUCACUGAGCAGGCAAACUGAACUUAGCAAAGCCUAGGCGAUGCACUCUCUAUCGCUCCUAUCUAAAGGUGGGAUGGAGUUCCUUAAGGAUUUUAAUUAUGUGCUCUGCUAUGAAUGGGUAGAAAUUACACACCAGACAAAAGCUGUUAGCAGUGGCACUCAAACUUGGCUGCACGUGGGAAUACCAUUAAAGACAAUGAUACCUGGCUCCCAACACAAAGAUUCUGAUUUAAUUAGAGUGGGCUGCUGUCUGAGUACUGGAAUUUCCAAAUACUCCCCAAGUGACUCUAAUAGGCAAUCUUGAUUGAGAAGCACUGUUAUAGGGUAUUAUAAAAAAGUAAAAGAGUUUCAGAAAUUUGUGAGUUUUUAACUUGAUAAAAUGCACAGCUAAUCCCUAGCUGACAUGGGUCAGGGAACUGAUAUUCAAUCUGAACUGCUUUUUCUUUUUUUAACUGGGACUCUUAGCUCUAGCAUCAUUGCUGGUGGCCUUAAUGUUUUUGAGCUCAUUUGGAAACAGUGCUGCCAACAGGGGAUUUCUGGGCAAAUAAGGGUAUUGUUAUAAAGGUCAAACACAACAAAAACCAAAGGACAAGUGCAAGCCUAAGCACAGAUAAGUAUUUAUAGGGGAAAUUAAUUCGGUGUAGGAUGGCCGUGAACGAGGGGCUAGAGCAAAGUGAGCCUUUUACAAGUGAAAUUUAAUCUGUGUCUACAUUCUAAUGGCUGUAAGACUCACCCUAUGAAGCUAAGAAUUGGUACAUAAAAUUAAUAUUUUCCAUUUUUUUUCUUCCCUAUGCAUUUUUGUGGGCCUUAUGCAUUAUAAAAAAACAUGACAGAGCCUCGGGGCGAUACCUCUGGCUGGUCCUCGUUUCAGCUUUGGUUUCUCUUGCUGUAUUUCUCAUAAGAGAUAUUGGUGUGGGUUGAAUAUAUUAAGGCAUGUGUAAUGCGCAGUUAAAUGGGGGCAUUUCCUCUUCUGUACAGGAUUCAGAGGAGGCCCCAUAUAAUUGGUGCCAAGGAGCCCCACAUUCUAAAGCGAGGUGGCAGCUGAAGGGACCUGGUAAGAGGUUAUGGGGGUGGUUCCACCCACGUAAACACUGACAACCUCCAAUCUAUCAAGAAUGACUUUAAAGAAGUUGGUACUGGGGAUUUCUUUGCAGGGUGUUAUCAACUUAGUAAGCGUCCCCAUCCUCAACCUCCACCCUGGACAGAAGCGUUACUUCUUUAACACAAACCAAAAAAGAGACACAUCAGUGGAACCACUGGAGAGCUUACGUCAGGUCUUCUGGACUUCAAAACACACAGGGACUGAUGUCUGACUCAUACUUGGAAACAUGGGACUGUGGCCCAAAUUACUCUUUCCUGGUAUGUAAAACCGAGUUAUAUUGGGAAUAAGUAGCACUUCCAGAAAUGGGGGGGGGGGCAAAUAAGGAUCUGCCCAAGAAAGGCGGACUAGAUUAUCUUGGGAGAGACUGCCUAGAAUGGUGCCAUGACUUCAUCAGUGAGGAGGUACCACUAGAAACCAAGAGAAUGAAGAGCCAUACGUGGCUGGCCUGAGAGGCACUGCCCGAGUCAGCAGAACAGUUAUUGAAAAGGUGUCCUGUAUGUAGGCAAAGUGAGGUAUCUUAAAAAAACAAACAAAACAAAACAAAACAAAAAACUCAUCACAAUGCUCCAGGAGAGAAAAGUCAACUGGGAUGUCCACGCACUCAGAGGAUCGCAGUGACAGCUCACCGUAUCACCCGUUGAGAUUACUCCGCCUUUCCACCUUCGCCUUGCUUGCCCCCCAUCUCUGAAGAGGCCAGAAAUCACAGCCAGAAACAGGGGAGAAGCUACAGAGGGGGGGAGUAAGGAAACCCAUCUGGCCCCACCUCCUAGUCCCAAAUUUCCGGCCUGACUGAUCACAGCUGUGAAGGGAGGCAGAGCUAAAAGUGACAUGGAUUGGACUUUGCACAGCGCUAGAUGUUUUCCUGCUUUGAGAAAAAGAUUUGUUUUUUAGGUAUUACCUGUUGGUAAUAAGAACAGCCAAUGGAGAACUGCCCAGAGUUGUAAUGGUUAGUGGAACCUGGGAGUUAGGGCUGAAUAGUCAAAAUAGUAGGUUUGAAGGGACUGGGGCAAAAUUAAGAUUGCUUUUUAUGAGUCACCUACCCAGUCCAUCUCAUGCAAUAAACAAGUUUAACAUGAACACUUAAGAUAUUUUUGUGGUGCAGAUUCAACUUAACAAGGGUGAGGUGUGAUAACAUCUUUGCAAAUUUUCAUCUUUACGAUCAGCUUUGCUACCUCAAAGAUAUAUUGGGUUAUGACAGCAUUUCUGCGGAAUGCUAACAGGCAUCCCCCCAAAAAGAGUGCCAUGGUCAAAGAUAUUGGCAAAAAGCUAGUUUACUCAAAAAAUAAAUAGGCUCGAGGAAUUCCCGCCAUGGCUUAGCAGAAACAAAUCCAACUAGGAACCACGAGGUUGUGGGUUCAAUUCCUGGCCUUGCUCAGUGGGUUAAGGAUCCAGUGUUGCUGUGAGCUGUGGUGUAGGCUUGCAGACAUGGCUCGGAUCUGGUGUUGCUGUGGCUGUGGUGUAAGCCAGGGCUACAGCUCUGAUUUGACUCCUAGCCUGGGAACCUCCAUAUGCCAUGGGUGUGACCCUAAAAAAAAAAUAGGUUUGAUAACUAUAGGUAUUCUAAGAGUCUUUAAUAUGCAUUGUGAGUCUAUAAAAGGGGGUGUUGGAUAUAGCUGUUUCAUACUCACUUAUCCAUUGACUGUUUUUACUCUCCAAGCAUCAGGAUUUCAUUAAAGUUUCCUGAAGACCUCCAAUGUGUAGGCCUGAGGGACUGGAUUAACUCAGUACAUCAGAUACAUCCCUUCCCUGAAAGACCUUCUAUUCUAAUGGGUUGCUUAGUGCAGUCUCUUGUUGUGUAGAAUUCUCUUAGAAGAGAUUUGCUCUAUGCCAUGUUUCUAGAUUUCUGCCACUGAAAAGCUAUUUGUUAACACAUACAAAUCGCCUGAGAAAGCAGUUGCCUUGUAAACAAGAGAGAUGUGCUUUUAUAAAACAUUCAGUCACGACUGAGCAGGACUCAAAGGUUUCGGUCUCCUUUUCUCUUCUCUUCUUGGUCCGUUUUGGCUGUGGAUGGAAACCCCUGAUAAAGCCGCACAGCCAUCCACCUCCCUUCUCUUCCUCUCCCCUGGGCCUGACUCCUCCCUCUGUCUCAGACGUCACAGCCCCACACGUCUCUUUCUCUGCUCACUCAGAAGAGAUCCGACACCAGCACUUUGUCUGGACUGCCUGUGAGCCGUUUCCACCAAGGUUUUAGUUUUAUGCUGGUGAAGAUUCCUGGACAGUUUCUGGCAAUGAGUUUUCUUCUUUUUCACCAGCAUAACACACAUGAACACACAGGCAUGCAUUCACACACUCACUCACACACACACACACACACACCCCUCCCUUCUCUUAAGUAGGGCAAAAUGUUAAGUGACAUGAAUUCCUGUAACUCUGGACAGUUUCCGGCAACGAACUUUCUUCUUUUUCAGCAGCAUAACCAACAUGCACACACAGGCAUGUACACACACAAAUACACAGAGAGACCUCCUCUUAAAGUAGGGCAAAAUCCAAGGUUCUGUUGUCCUUGCAGGUGAAUUAAGCGGUCUGUGUUGAGCGACAUGAAUUCCUUUACCGCGUGGCGUUCCAAAGGCGAUUCUCACCCGGGUGUUGCCUGUGCUGUGGCUCUCCUCUAUGCCCAAGAAACAGGUCUGCAUCCAGGUAAUGAUGGCAUCUGAAUCUUGACAAAUGGUGUGAAGGGAAACAUGGAGGAUGCAAGGAAGAAAAUUAUCUCUGGAUCUUGGGUAACGCUUAACGAUGCCCAGCUUUCUGCUGGAGAGCUGGAACUCUCGUGGUACCUGAGUACUUGUGCACAUAUCAGGGGUCAAAAGAGAUGGCCCAGUGGGCCCAGACGUGUAAGUAACUUUCUCUUCCCUUUUGGUCACCACAGGCUUGGUGGGAAUUUCCACUACAGAAAGAGAAUCAAAUACCCCAGCCACUAUGCCAUGAAAUGCAACCUCUGGCUUCGCAACCUCUGUGAGUUGCUGAAUUCUUCCUUCCAAGUUGCUCGCCAACUACCAGACUCUCUGCGCAGUGAGUAUGGGUCCUGGACCUGAAGAUCUCAUUCAUGAAUCCUUGUGGGUGAGAUACCAAGACACAUGCUGGGAUCAGUUUGUUGCUCUAAAAGCAAGCAUGAAAAUACUCAGUGAUAUUGGUUAGAAUCCUCAGAGAGGUCCAAGCUUAAUAAUGGGCUAAAUUAGCCCUAAAUUAAAGGCUGCUCUGGACCCAACCUAAUGAAGCUGACAGGAUAGAAUCCAAUGGCAUCCAAAUAACUUAGUCAUGUGCCAGAAAAAAAAAAAAAAAAAAAAAG
RNAcentral lists this long non-coding RNA (6506 nucleotides) under Sus scrofa (pig). RNAcentral's name for it is "lncRNA (ENSSSCG00040064706.1)". Lineage: Eukaryota; Metazoa; Chordata; Mammalia; Artiodactyla; Suidae. The record is from RNAcentral.